This 253-nucleotide ribosomal RNA is filed under the name uncultured prokaryote. RNAcentral describes it as "partial 16S ribosomal RNA". It matches the Rfam family "Bacterial small subunit ribosomal RNA", at positions 524 to 776 of the family's 1533-position model. The record is from RNAcentral.
GACGAACCACACAAACGUUAUUCGGAAUUACUGGGCUUAAAGGGUGCGUAGGCGGCGCGGAAAGUUGGGUGUGAAAUCCCUCGGCUCAACCGAGGAUCUGCGCCCAAAACUACCGUGCUCGAGGGAGAUAGAGGUGAGCGGAACUUAGGGUGGAGCGGUGAAAUGCGUUGAUAUCCUAAGGAACACCCGUGGCGAAGGCGACACGCUGGGUCACACCUGACGCUAAAACGCGACAGCAUGGGGAGCAAACGGG